GUGCUCACUUUGGCAGCACGUGCACUAAAAUUGGAAGGAUACAGACAAAAUUAGCAUGGUGCCCCCUGCACAAGAAAGACAUGCAUAUUUGUGAAGCGUUCCAUAUUUAA
This is a small nuclear RNA of Cynocephalus volans (Philippine flying lemur), 110 nucleotides long. Lineage: Eukaryota; Metazoa; Chordata; Mammalia; Dermoptera; Cynocephalidae. The record is from RefSeq and is a predicted model, not a curated record.